AAAUGUAAAAAUGAUUAAUUAAUAUUGUUAUAGUUCGAGAUUUUCAACCAAUACAAGGGAGUUCGCAACACGCCUGUGAAAAAGGGCCAGUACGGUUUGGGAAUAAUGAUAAUCGAGGGAAAGCACGCGGAGGUCGGGCAAGGAAUAUUCAUCUCGGACAUACAAGAAGGCAGCGCCGCGGAACAGGCCGGCUUAAACGUGGGUGACAUGAUCCUCGCUGUCAACAUGGACUGUCUUGUGGGCUCGACGUAUGACGAGGUAAUACGCCGUACGAUAAUUAGAACUGGCCGACGGUAGUUGAAACGAGUAUCUCAUUGUUUCCACCGCCUAUUGUUCCCUCGAAAGUUUCCCAGGCAAAUCGCGUUACGACACGACGUACGCUUGGAUUCCGUAACUAAAGCGUCAGAAUUGAAUUAUUGAAAAAUUCGCACCAAUUGCGAAUUUUAAAUCCGAAUAAAAUGGUCAUUAUUGA
This is an RNA transcript of Ceratina calcarata, 472 nucleotides long. RefSeq lists it as uncharacterized. The record is from RefSeq and is a predicted model, not a curated record. NCBI's taxonomy places the organism in Eukaryota, Metazoa, Arthropoda, Insecta, Hymenoptera, Apidae. The transcript is spliced from 3 exons.